This 491-nucleotide ribosomal RNA is filed under the name uncultured bacterium. Its description in RNAcentral is "partial 16S ribosomal RNA". It matches the Rfam family "Bacterial small subunit ribosomal RNA", at positions 28 to 507 of the family's 1533-position model. The record is from RNAcentral.
GAUGAACGCUAGCUACAGGCUUAACACAUGCAAGUCGCGGGGCAGCAUGGGGGUUGCUUGCAACCCCUGAUGGCGACCGGCGCACGGGUGAGUAACGCGUAUCCAACCUGCCCUUCACCACGGGAUAACCCGGCGAAAGUCGGACUAAUACCGUAUGUUGUCCAUUGACGGCAUCCGAUUUGGACGAAAGGCUUGGCGGUGACAGGAUGGGGAUGCGUCCGAUUAGCUUGACGGCGGGGUAACGGCCCACCGUGGCUACGAUCGGUAGGGGUUCUGAGAGGAAGGUCCCCCACACUGGAACUGAGACACGGUCCAGACUCCUACGGGAGGCAGCAGUGAGGAAUAUUGGUCAAUGGGCGUAAGCCUGAACCAGCCAAGUAGCGUGCAGGAUGACGGCCCUAUGGGUUGUAAACUGCUUUUAUGCGGGGAUAAAGUGGCCCACGUGUGGGCUUUUGCAGGUACCGCAUGAAUAAGGACCGGCUAAUUCCGUG